RNAcentral lists this ribosomal RNA (1376 nucleotides) under uncultured bacterium. RNAcentral's name for it is "bacterial SSU rRNA". It matches the Rfam family "Bacterial small subunit ribosomal RNA", at positions 27 to 1393 of the family's 1533-position model. The record is from RNAcentral.
GAUUGAACGCUGGCGGUAUGCUUAACACAUGCAAGUCGAACGGAAACGAUACUAGCUUGCUAGUAGGCGUCGAGUGGCGGACGGGUGAGUAACGCGUAGGAAUCUGCCUGAUAGUGGGGGAUAGCCCGAAGAAAUUCGGAUUAAUACCGCAUAAUCUAUUCGUAGUAAAGUGGGGGACUUUCGAGCCUCACGCUAUCAGAUGAGCCUGCGUAAGAUUAGCUAGUUGGUAGGGUAAAAGCCUACCAAGGCAACGAUCUUUAGCUGGUCUGAGAGGAUGAUCAGCCACAUCGGGACUGAGACACGGCCCGAACUCCUACGGGAGGCAGCAGUGGGGGAUAUUGGACAAUGGGGGCAACCCUGAUCCAGCAAUACCGCGUGUGUGAAGAAGGCCUGAGGGUUGUAAAGCACUUUCAAUUGUGAAGAAAAGUUAACGGUUAAUAACCGUUAGCCUUGACGUUAACUUUAGAAGAAGCACCGGCUAACUCCGUGCCAGCAGCCGCGGUAAUACGGAGGGUGCAAGCGUUAAUCGGAAUUACUGGGCGUAAAGCGUGCGUAGGCGGUUUAUUAAGUCAGAUGUGAAAGCCCCGGGCUUAACCUGGGAACUGCAUUUGAAACUGGUCAACUAGAGUAUGGUAGAGGAAAGUGGAAUUUCUGGUGUAGCGGUGAAAUGCGUAGAUAUCAGAAGGAACAUCAAUGGCGAAGGCAGCUUUCUGGACCAAUACUGACGCUGAGGUACGAAAGCGUGGGUAGCAAACAGGAUUAGAUACCCUGGGUAGUCCACGCCGUAAACGAUGAUAACUAGCCGUUGGAGGGAUUUACCCUUUAGUGGCGAAGCUAACGCGUUAAGUUAUCCGCCUGGGGAGUACGGCCGCAAGGUUAAAACUCAAAGGAAUUGACGGGGACCCGCACAAGCGGUGGAGCAUGUGGUUUAAUUCGAUGCAACGCGAAGAACCUUACCUGGUCUUGACAUCCUGCGAACUUUCUAGAAAUAGAUUGGUGCCUUCGGGAACGCAGUGACAGGUGCUGCAUGGCUGUCGUCAGCUCGUGUCGUGAGAUGUUGGGUUAAGUCCCGUAACGAGCGCAACCCCUAUCCUUAUUUGCCAGCACGUCAUGGUGGGAACUAUAAGGAGACUGCCGGUGAUAAACCGGAGGAAGGCGGGGACGACGUCAAGUCAUCAUGGCCCUUACGACCAGGGCUACACACGUGCUACAAUGGGAAGGACAAAGAGCCGCGAAGCCGCGAGGUGUAGCUAAUCUCAGAAACCUUUUCGUAGUCCGGAUUGGAGUCUGCAACUCGACUCCAUGAAGUCGGAAUCGCUAGUAAUCGUAGAUCAGAAUGCUACGGUGAAUACGUUCCCGGGUCUUGUACACACCGC